This 110-nucleotide non-coding RNA is filed under the name Mycobacterium sp. Its description in RNAcentral is "TPP sequence". It matches the Rfam family "TPP riboswitch aptamer (THI element)". From Rfam's summary of the family: Vitamin B(1) in its active form thiamin pyrophosphate (TPP) is an essential coenzyme that is synthesised by coupling of pyrimidine and thiazole moieties in bacteria. The previously detected thiamin-regulatory element, thi box was extended, resulting in a new, highly conserved RNA secondary structure, the THI element, which is widely distributed in eubacteria and also occurs in some archaea. Analysis of operon structures identified a large number of new candidate thiamin-regulated genes, mostly transporters, in various prokaryotic organisms. The record is from RNAcentral. Lineage: Bacteria; Bacillati; Actinomycetota; Actinomycetes; Mycobacteriales; Mycobacteriaceae.
CCCGUAACCCCCGGGAGCGCGCACCGAGCGUGCUGAGAGGACGGCUGGGGCCGUCGACCGGAUGAACCUGACCGGGUAAUGCCGGCGUAGGGAGUGAUGAAGAUGGCUGU